AUUGAACGCUGGCGGCAUGCUUUACACAUGCCAGUCGAACGGCAGCGCGGGCUUCGGCCUGGCGGCGAGUGGCGAACGGGUGAGUAAUACAUCGGAACGUGCCCAGUAGUGGGGGAUAGCUCGGCGAAAGCCGGAUUAAUACCGCAUACGACCUGAGGGUGAAAGCGGGGGAUCUUCGGACCUCGCGCUAUUGGAGCGGCCGAUGGCAGAUUAGCUAGUUUGUGGGGUAAAGGCCUACCAAGGCGACGAUCUGUAGCUGGUCUGAGAGGACGACCAGCCACACUGGGACUGAGACACGGCCCAGACUCCUACGGGAGGCAGCAGUGGGGAAUUUUGGACAAUGGGCGAAAGCCUGAUCCAGCAAUGCCGCGUGUGUGAUGAAGGCCUUCGGGUUGUAAAGCACUUUUGGCGGGAACGAAAAGGACUGUGCCAAUACCACGGUUCGAUGACGGUACCCGCAGAAUAAGCACCGGCUAACUACGUG
Molecule: ribosomal RNA, 484 nt
Filed under: uncultured bacterium
Lineage: Bacteria
Description: partial 16S ribosomal RNA
Rfam family: Bacterial small subunit ribosomal RNA
Source: RNAcentral